RNAcentral lists this transfer RNA (71 nucleotides) under Marmota monax (woodchuck). RNAcentral's name for it is "tRNA.Val". It matches the Rfam family "tRNA". Rfam says of the family: Transfer RNA (tRNA) molecules are approximately 80 nucleotides in length. Their secondary structure includes four short double-helical elements and three loops (D, anti-codon, and T loops). The record is from RNAcentral. Lineage: Eukaryota; Metazoa; Chordata; Mammalia; Rodentia; Sciuridae.
GAGGUUGUGGCUCAGUGGUAGAGCUCUCGCUUCACAUGUGUGAUGUCCUGGGUUCGAUCCUCAGCACCACA